UUAGCCCCAGAAAAUCAGGCUAAACAAGCUCUCACUAUAACCGUGCUUAGCGCGCCAAGCGUUUUGGGACUUAGAAUAUUUUUCUUCCUUUCUCUCGCUUCAAGCAUGCUACAAAUGAAACUUUCUGGAAUUGUGAAACUUAUCUCGAUUGAAGCAUGCUAGAAGCGAGACUUUAUGGAUUUUUCUUCUUUUCUCGCUUCAAGCAUGCUACAAGCGCC
RNAcentral lists this long non-coding RNA (218 nucleotides) under Lathyrus oleraceus (garden pea). Its description in RNAcentral is "Pisum sativum (pea) long non-coding RNA (PSAT_LNC020770)". Lineage: Eukaryota; Viridiplantae; Streptophyta; Magnoliopsida; Fabales; Fabaceae. The record is from RNAcentral.